Molecule: ribosomal RNA, 270 nt
Filed under: uncultured bacterium
Lineage: Bacteria
Also listed under: 1 other name
Description: partial 16S ribosomal RNA
Rfam family: Bacterial small subunit ribosomal RNA
Source: RNAcentral
CGGGAGGCAGCAGUGGGGAAUAUUGGACAAUGGGCGCAAGCCUGAUCCAGCCAUGCCGCGUGAGUGAUGAAGGCCUUAGGGUUGUAAAGCUCUUUUGUCCGGGACGAUAAUGACGGUACCGGAAGAAUAAGCCCCGGCUAACUUCGUGCCAGCAGCCGCGGUAAUACGAAGGGGGCUAGCGUUGCUCGGAAUCACUGGGCGUAAAGGGCGCGUAGGCGGCCAUUCAAGUCGGGGGUGAAAGCCUGUGGCUCAACCACAGAAUUGCCUUCG